GAUGAACGCUGGCGGCGUGCCUAAUACAUGCAAGUCGAGCGAACGGACGAGAAGCUUGCUUCUCUGCUGUUAGCGGCGGACGCGUGAGUAACACGUGGAUAACCUACCUAUAAGACUGGGAUAACUUCGGGAACCCUGAGCUAAUAUCGGACAAUAGUUUGAACCGCAUGGUUCAUCAGUGAAAGCCGUUUUUGCUGUCCCUUAUAGAUGGAACCGCGCUGCAUUAGCUAGUUGGUAAGGUAACGGCUUACCAAGGCAACGAUGCGUAGCUGACCUGAGAGGAUGAUCAGCCACACUGGAACUGAGACACGGUCCAGACUCCUACGGGAGGCAGCAGUAGGGAAUAUUGCACAAUGGGCGAAAGCCUGACGCAGCAACGCCGCGUGAGUGAUGAAGGUCUUCGGAUCGUAAAACUCUGUUAUUAGGGAAGAACAGCUGUGUAAGAAACUGUGCACAUCUUGACGGUACCUAAACAGAAAGCCACGGCUAACUACGUG
Molecule: ribosomal RNA, 497 nt
Filed under: uncultured bacterium
Lineage: Bacteria
Description: partial 16S ribosomal RNA
Rfam family: Bacterial small subunit ribosomal RNA
Source: RNAcentral